RNAcentral lists this long non-coding RNA (1663 nucleotides) under Macaca fascicularis (crab-eating macaque). RNAcentral's name for it is "lncRNA (ENSMFAG00000053201.1)". Lineage: Eukaryota; Metazoa; Chordata; Mammalia; Primates; Cercopithecidae. The record is from RNAcentral.
GUGGCUCACACACCCUGGGUCAUCCCUCUACGGCUAUCACGCAUCCCACAGGCAGCCUCAGAGGAAAAGCUGUGAGGCAAUUUUGUUCAUAUUCGUGUCAUAAAUUGAAAAUGUAAGAUAAACUAUGCUUUUCAAGAAAUGCCAUUAAAAUGCUAAAAAUAAUGAUGUGUUCAGAGGUUGCACAGGAGCCACAAAUUGUGCUGACCAUUUUGGGGGCAGCUGCUAUCCAGUAAGUAGGGUCUGCUACCUUGAGGCUUAUGCGCUUCCAAAUCAUUUACAUAAUACUGCCUACUUUAUUCAAGGCGGCUUUUUAUUUUUACUCACACAUUGCAUUUUAGCUUCAUUUCACAAAAGUGGAUUAGUGGCACAAAAUGGUUUAUUGAGGCAUAAAGGCAAUAAUGAAAUAAUAACAUACAUACUACAACCAGAAUAACACCAUACCCAAACAUAGUAAACAAGACGCCGGCACAAAUGUGGAAUGCGAAUUCUUACAUGUUGGGACAAGUGAAUCUGUGAAGGUGAUGAUUUCACACAAGGAUUGGAAAAGAAAAGUGUGAAUAGGAUGUAGCAUCAUGAAUAUCUGAAAAUUGGAUUUUGUUCGACAAGUGAUCCAUUCACUUUUUGCCCUUCAUGCUUUGUCUGUAUUGAAUUUUGUCCCAUAAUGGCACAAAGCCAUCCAAACUUUUGUAUCACUUUCACACAAGCUCAGUGACCUUUCCAGCAUCCACAUGAGGUUUCCUGGAAUAAAAGCAAAGUAUUGCUUUUCAAGUAUGAAACCAAUCAAUUGUAUCACUAAAGGCAGAGAAGAGGUAGUAGCAGUAAGAGGUAUCAGUGACAUGAACAUUAAGAAACAAACAACACCAGCCCCAAAGUUAAUGACCAAUAUUAUGCAUAAAGAGAAAGCAGAAUAAUGUGGCAGAUAAAUUGAAAGAGUCUUUACUACCAUGUCCUCUUGCUAGCAGAUAUUUCUCACCGAGGCUGGACAGAACUGAGGAACAGGGCAUGGAGCUACUCCUGCCAUACGUGUUUUCCUUGGGGAUAAUGUUCUAUGGCUUUUGAUCUUAUUUAUCUCUGAAAACACAGGCUAUAUAAACAGGUAUUUUCUUGUUUUGUUAAUUAUGAUUUUAUGAGCUGUAGGGCACUUGUACAGAAGAGGCUUUGGGAUCAGAGCUGACAGAGUAUCUGCUAUGCAUGAACAUAGAAUGUGAGUCAGCAGGGCACGGUGGCUGGCGCCUGUCAUCCCAGGACUUUGGGAGGCCAAGACUGGAGGAUCACUUGAGCUCAGGAGUUUCAGACCAGCCUGAGCAACAUAGCAAGACCCUAUUAAAAAAUAAUUUUUUUCUAUCAAAAAAAAAUUUAAAUGCCAGGUUCGAGGACUCACACUGUAAUCCCAGCAGUUUGGGAGGCCAAGGUAGGUGGAUCACCUGAGGUCAGGAGUUAGAGACCAGCCUGACCAAGUUGGUGAAACGCCAUCUCUACUGAAAAUACAAAAAUUAGCCAGGCAUGGUGGGAGGCACCUAUAACCCCAGCUACUCAGGAAGCUGAGGUAGGGAAUGGUUUGAACCCAGGAGGCAGGAGGUUGCAGUGAGCCAAGAUCGUGCCAUUGCACUCCCGUCUGGGUGACAGAGCAAGACGUCAUCUAAAAAAAAAAAAAAAAAAAAAA